This 464-nucleotide ribosomal RNA is filed under the name uncultured Klebsiella sp. RNAcentral's name for it is "bacterial SSU rRNA". It matches the Rfam family "Bacterial small subunit ribosomal RNA", at positions 339 to 795 of the family's 1533-position model. Lineage: Bacteria; Pseudomonadati; Pseudomonadota; Gammaproteobacteria; Enterobacterales; Enterobacteriaceae. The record is from RNAcentral.
CUACGGGUGGCAGCAGUGGGGAAUAUUGCACAAUGGGCGCAAGCCUGAUGCAGCCAUGCCGCGUGUGUGAAGAAGGCCUUCGGGUUGUAAAGCACUUUCAGCGGGGAGGAAGGCGGUGAGGUUAAUAACCUCAUCGAUUGACGUUACCCGCAGAAGAAGCACCGGCUAACUCCGUGCCAGCAGCCGCGGUAAUACGGAGGGUGCAAGCGUUAAUCGGAAUUACUGGGCGUAAAGCGCACGCAGGCGGUCUGUCAAGUCGGAUGUGAAAUCCCCGGGCUCAACCUGGGAACUGCAUUCGAAACUGGCAGGCUAGAGUCUUGUAGAGGGGGGUAGAAUUCCAGGUGUAGCGGUGAAAUGCGUAGAGAUCUGGAGGAAUACCGGUGGUGAAGGCGGCCCCCUGGACAAAGACUGACGCUCAGGUGCGAAAGCGUGGGGAGCAAACAGGAUUAGAUACCCCAGUAGUC